AUGAACGCUGGCGGCGUGCCUAAUACAUGCAAGUCGAGCGAACAGAUAAGGAGCUUGCUCCUUUGACGUUAGCGGCGGACGGGUGAGUAACACGUGGGUAACCUACCUAUAAGCCUGGGAUAACUUCGGGAAACCGGAGCUAAUACCGGAUAACAUUUGGAACCGCAUGGUUCUAAAGUGAAAGAUGGUUUUGCUAUCACUUAUAGAUGGACCCGCGCCGUAUUAGCUAGUUGGUAAGGUAACGGCUUACCAAGGCAACGAUACGUAGCCGACCUGAGAGGGUGAUCGGCCACACUGGAACUGAGACACGGUCCAGACUCCUACGGGAGGCAGCAGUAGGGAAUCUUCCGCAAUGGGCGAAAGCCUGACGGAGCAACGCCGCGUGAGUGAUGAAGGGUUUCGGCUCGUAAAACUCUGUUAUUAGGGAAGAACAAACGUGUAAGUAACUGUGCACGUCUUGACGGUACCUAAUCAGAAAGCCACGGCUAACUACGUG
This 496-nucleotide ribosomal RNA is filed under the name uncultured bacterium. Its description in RNAcentral is "partial 16S ribosomal RNA". It matches the Rfam family "Bacterial small subunit ribosomal RNA", at positions 29 to 507 of the family's 1533-position model. The record is from RNAcentral.